RNAcentral lists this long non-coding RNA (585 nucleotides) under Populus trichocarpa (black cottonwood). RNAcentral describes it as "long non-coding RNA (PTRI_LNC002649)". The record is from RNAcentral. Lineage: Eukaryota; Viridiplantae; Streptophyta; Magnoliopsida; Malpighiales; Salicaceae.
CAACUGGAUCUGAGAUUGAAUCUGAGCCGUUUAUCAGGCCAGAAUUGUUUUGAUCAAAUCCUAGCCGUCUGAAAUGCGAUUUGGACGAUUUCAGACUUGUUUCUAGCUAAUUUGAUCGUUCCGGAUGCAAUGGUAUGGUCCGAUCUUUGAGAUUUGAGACCAAAAAUGGUAGUGGUGAAUUAUUGAAAGAGAUUGCCCGAUGAAGAGGCAUCUGAAGGUCAUCAUGGUGGUCGAUGGAGAUGAAGAAGGAGAAAGUGCACAUGUUUACCCAAUUACAUGUGCUGAACUGCUAAGUUGAGAGAAUUUUAAUUGCUUUGAAGGAAGGCAAAAUUGGGACACUCUAGACACCCAAUCAAGUGGACGAUUUGAGGUGGAGAGUGGAAAUUGAUGAAGACCAAUCUUGAUGAAUCUAAGAACUGGUAGUCUCGCCAGAUGUUGAGAAAUCAGGUAUAAAACCAGGAUACCUCAGAUCACUUGUAAAGGAAAGCCGCAACAAAGCUAGCAAAUGGUUGUAUAUACGAAAAGGCAGUACGGUGGAUAGAUACGUUCUAAGAAGUUCUGUCUAGGAGAUUGGGUUUUAAGCGG